Molecule: RNA transcript, 1862 nt
Organism: Mercenaria mercenaria
Lineage: Eukaryota; Metazoa; Mollusca; Bivalvia; Venerida; Veneridae
Exons: 8
Source: RefSeq, a predicted model, not a curated record
UGACUUGUAAACACUAAUUAUAAUGAAAAUGCCGGAGAAAAAGAAGAAAAAUUACUCAUCAAAAUACAACAACGCAUGGGAACAGGAAUUUCCUUGGAUUAGCAAAGCAGGCAACGGACUAGGUUUUGCUUUCUGCAUGUUAUGUAGGAGAACGUUUUCUGUCUCGCAUGCGGGCAAGAACGAUGUUAGAAAACAUGGACAAACAUUAGUUCAUAGCAAAGCAGAGAAGUCUGAACUUCACACAAGCAACGUCAGAAGCUACUUCGUCAGUGCAGAUGAGAAACCCGACGUUAUUAAUGUGGAAAUCAUCUGGGCACAGUUUGUGGCAGAGACAAACCUUCCGUUCAGUGUAUCGGACACAUUUAACAAGGCAGUGAAGGUCAUGUUUCCUGAUAGUGACAUUGCCAAGAAGUUCCAGUGCGGGAAAACUUAAAAUCCACUCGGAUUGUUAAGGGUGCUUUAGAUCCAGAUGUCAGGAAGCCAGUGAUCGAAAAAUGCCGGAAACAGCCCUUUUCGUUGGCCAUAGACGAGAGUAAUGACAGGGGUGAUGACAAGCUGUUGGUAAUCUUGGUACGGCUCUUCGACUUUGAAUUGGGUUGCUCGGUGACACGUCUGCUGGACAUGCCUGUCUGCAAUGUUGGGACAGGGGCUGCAAUCUUCCACACGUUGAAGACCGUACUAUUUAAAGUGACAAUGACAUUCCGUGGAACAACUUGGUGGCGUUCACUAGUGACAACUGCAACACAAUGAUUGGGAAAAACAACUCGGUGCUCAGUCGUGUGCGUGAGAAAAAUCCCCAUGUGUAUGCCCAUGGAUGUGUUUGCCAUAUGGCCAACCUGUGUGCUUCUGCUGGUGUUAAAGUUCUCCCCAUCAGUGUUGAUGAGUUGCUGACUGACAUAAUACUUCCAUUUUGAUCAGAGUACACUAAGAGGAAGGAACUGUACAAGGAGUCCCUUGAGUUUACAGAGGUUGACCCAACUAAGCUGCUCAAGCAUGUCAGUACCCGCUGGCUCAGUCUACAGAAGUGCAUUAACAGGACACUUGACCACUACCCUGCACUACAGAGCUACUUCCAGUCCCAUAACGAUGUUGAAAGGCAAGGGCGUAUUAGGCGUGUUGCUCAACUCCUCUCAGACCCUACAACCAUCUUGUAUCUGAGAUUUUUAAGCUUCAUUCUUGCGGCAUUGAAUGAAUUCAACACAACAUUCCAGGCUGAUGAUUCACGUAUUGGGUACAUGGCUACAGAGGUCCAGCACAUCAUGCGGAAAUUCUUGAAGAGGUUUGUCAGGUCACAGGUUAUCAGGGAGGCUAAUGAUGUAAGAUCCAUCGCCUAUGACGAUAUAUCAAACCAGCUUCCUGACGAUAAAAUUGCAGUCGGCCAGACCACUAGGUGCUACAUCAGGGAACACGAAGAUGACCUGACUGACGAUCAACUGGACAAGUUCUUCAGGUCAGUUUGGGCCUUCUAUCAAGCAACAGUGAAAAAGAUGCUGAACGCUUCCCCUUUGAUGACCCAGUCCUCCAGGACUCCAGUUUCCUGGUUCCUACCAGCUGGGAAGAGAUCGAACAAGAUGCAGUUGUGCGACUAGGAAGAAGAUUCCCUGGUAUAAUCCACCCAGAGGACCUGGAUCAACUUGAGGAGGAGUAUGGGGACCUCCAGGUGCUCACACCUAACGUACUUCCAGAGAAUGAUGAGCACACCAAGCUGGACGAGUACUGGGGAAAACUGGCAUCCAUGAGGAACAAAAUAACAGGAAAGUCCAGAUUUCCAACACUGACUAGAUUGGCCUGUACUUUACUGACAAUACCUAACAGCAAUGCUGACUGUGAACGAACAUUUAGCUGUGUAAGAAAAGUUCAGA